Molecule: long non-coding RNA, 726 nt
Filed under: Bos taurus (domestic cattle)
Lineage: Eukaryota; Metazoa; Chordata; Mammalia; Artiodactyla; Bovidae
Description: long non-coding RNA NONBTAT026423
Source: RNAcentral
GACGUUAUCAAUGAGGAAAUUUACAGUUUAGAAUAAUUUUUUAAGUUGAAUUUGGAUUCAAUCAAUCAUUAUUUUGUACAAUAUUUGCUAAUCUAAUUUUAACACAAAUUAAUACUGCCUCAUUUUACAAUUUUGUCACCUGCAUUAGUCACAAUUAAUUAGAUUUUGUAAUUGUGCUUCUAGUUAGGUGUGAUAUGAAACCUCAUGGCAACUGAAGUGCUAUAGGACAAGCAGAUUUUAGUAAUCUUAUAUGAACUUGGGCAAUACUCUGUAAAUGUUUCCUGUAGGUGCUUUUGUGUAAUAGACAUGUUUCUUAGAUUUUCCUUAGUUUUGUGUACUUUAAAUAUUUAGAUUUCUAGCAUACCCAAGGUUCUCAUGAUAUUAUGAAGCUGUAUGUGUUGUAUAUAAUUAUUUUUCAAAAGAACUACUGUGCAAUGUGUUUUUUUCAUGCAUUAUGGAUGCUCAUAUUAUAACACCUGUGGCCUUAUAUGGUAUUUGAAUUAGGAGCAGACUUUUUAAAAUUGUAGCAUAGUCAUAUGCCUUUAUUUUUAUUGGACAUAUAAUACUUAUUUGUUGUAGAAAAAUCUAGUAAAUCUUAGAUAGAUCUUACAUGAAGAAUUUUUAAACUAUUUGUUUUUAUUUCAAGCUAUUCCAGUAAGUUUUUCUUUAUAAUUCAGUUGGUAAUUCUGUUGAACCUUUAAAAGUGGUGCACUUUAAAAUUAAAGA